CCUACGUGAGGCAGCAGUGAGGAAUAUUGGUCAAUGGGCGGAAGCCUGAACCAGCCAAGUAGCGUGCGGGAUGAAGGCCCUACGGGUCGUAAACCGCUUUUGCACGGGGAUAACACCCUCCACUUGUGGAGGUCUUCAGGUACCGUGCGACUAAGGGCCGGCUAAUUCCGUGCCAGCAGCCGCAGUAUUACGGAGGGCCCGAGCGUUAUCCGGGUUCAUUGGGCUUAAAGGGAGAGUAGGCGGGCGUUCAAGUCAGCUGUAAAAUCGCGCGGCUCAACCGCGCCCCGCAGUUGAAACUGGACGCCGUGAGUUCACAACAGGCAGGCGGAAUUCGUGGUGUAGCGGUGAAAUGCAUAGAUAGCACGAGGAACCCCGAUUGCGAAGGCAGCCUGCCGGGGUGCGACUGACGCUGAGGCUCGAAGGUGCGGGUAUCAAACAGGAUUAGAUACCCUGGUAGUC
Molecule: ribosomal RNA, 459 nt
Filed under: uncultured bacterium
Lineage: Bacteria
Description: partial 16S ribosomal RNA
Rfam family: Bacterial small subunit ribosomal RNA
Source: RNAcentral